UACAGAGGGUGCGAGCGUUAAUCGGAAUUACUGGGCGUAAAGCGCACGUAGGUGGCGACGUAAGUCGGGUGUGAAAGCCCCGGGCUCAACCUGGGAAUUGCAUUCGAGACUGCAUUCUGGAGUACGGAAGAGGAAGGCGGAAUUCCCGGUGUAGCGGUGAAAUGCGUAGAUAUCGUGAGGAACACCAGAGGCGAAGGCGGCUACCUGGACAAUUGCUGACGCUCAGGCACGAAAGCGUGGGGAGCAAAAGGG
RNAcentral lists this ribosomal RNA (252 nucleotides) under uncultured bacterium. Its description in RNAcentral is "partial 16S ribosomal RNA". It matches the Rfam family "Bacterial small subunit ribosomal RNA", at positions 524 to 776 of the family's 1533-position model. The record is from RNAcentral.